CCCAAAAAACCACAAGAAGACCUGUGGUCCCUCCCUUCCGCAGCACAUAUACUGAAAAAAAAAACGAGACCCAACGCCUGACACCGGCGACGGCCCCGCCCCCUCCAGGUUCCACCCGGCGGAGAUCUGGAGCUUCGGGCUGUGUUGCUCAGGCUGUCCUGGAACUUUUGGACUCCAGUGACCCUCCUGCCUCAGCCUCUGGAGCAGAUACUAUAGGGUCUUGCUAUGUAGCUUGGCCUGGCCUGGUAAUCCUGCCUCAGCCUCCCCAGUGCUGGGAUUACAGGAAUGCACAUCACUCCCGGCUCACUCCCCUUGCUUUGAGUAAGCCUAUGACUGAGCCGGGGAUUUAGCUCAGUGGUUCCGCUGCCCGGCUCGAAAGCGCAAGGUCUGGAGCUUGAUCCCGGUACCAAAAAAAAAAAAAAGAAGAGUAAGCCUAUGACUAAGAUCGAAGUGAUACAAGGUCAGAAAAAGGUAUUACGUCUUCCACUUUAUUCUCUUGGGAUACAG
RNAcentral lists this long non-coding RNA (507 nucleotides) under Heterocephalus glaber (naked mole-rat). Its description in RNAcentral is "lncRNA (ENSHGLG00000046570.1)". The record is from RNAcentral. Lineage: Eukaryota; Metazoa; Chordata; Mammalia; Rodentia; Bathyergidae.